GAUGAACGCUGGCGGCGUGCCUAAUACAUGCAAGUCGAGCGAACAGACGAGGAGCUUGCUCCUCUGACGUUAGCGGCGGACGGGUGAGUAACACGUGGAUAACCUACCUAUAAGACUGGGAUAACUUCGGGAAACCGGAGCUAAUACCGGAUAACAUGUUGAACCGCAUGGUUCAACAGUGAAAGACGGUCUUGCUGUCACUUAUAGAUGGAUCCGCGCCGCAUUAGCUAGUUGGUAAGGUAACGGCUUACCAAGGCAACGAUGCGUAGCCGACCUGAGAGGGUGAUCGGCCACACUGGAACUGAGACACGGUCCAGACUCCUACGGGAGGCAGCAGUAGGGAAUCUUCCACAAUGGGCGAAAUCCUGACGGAGCAACGCCGCGUGAGUGAAGAAGGUCUUCGGAUCGUAAAACUCUGUUAUUAGGGAAGAACAAAUGUGUAAGUAACUAUGCACGUCUUGACGGUACCUAAUCAGAAAGCCACGGCUAACUACGUG
This 497-nucleotide ribosomal RNA is filed under the name uncultured bacterium. RNAcentral describes it as "partial 16S ribosomal RNA". It matches the Rfam family "Bacterial small subunit ribosomal RNA", at positions 28 to 507 of the family's 1533-position model. The record is from RNAcentral.